GUCGUGAGAUGUUGGGUUAAGUCCCGCAACGAGCGCAACCCCCGUCGCAUGUUGCCAGCAUUAAGUUGGGGACUCAUGCGAGACUGCCGGUGACAAACCGGAGGAAGGUGGGGAUGACGUCAAGUCAUCAUGCCCCUUAUGUCCAGGGCUACACACGUGCUACAUUGGCGCAUACAGAGGGCUGCAAGACCGUGAGGUGGAGCGAAUCCCUUAAAGUGCGUCUCGGUUCGGAUUGUAGGCUGAAACUCGCCUACAUGAAGGUGGAGUUGCUAGUAAUCGCGGAUCAGCAUUGCCGCGGUGAAUACGUUCCCGGGCCUUGUACACACCGCCCGUCACACCAUGGGAGUGAGCAACACCCGAAGCCGGUGGCCUAACCCGCAAGGGAGGGAGCCGUCGAAGGUGGGGCUCGUGACUGGGGUGAAGUCGUAACAAGGUAGCCGUAGCGGAAGCUGCGGCUGGAUCACCUCCUUUCUAGGGAGUCCCGUAAUGGGACAUCCGGAGCCCGUCAGGCAAUAACUGUCUGGCGAGUGCGGCAUCCAGGUUGAACCUCGAGUUCACCGAUGCCGACAGAGUUUCCGGCUUAGAGAUGUCGACCGAAUCUGGAAUAUGGAAUCCGUUAGAGCGCCAGCUCUAGUCCGCGGAUUCCUACAUGCUGUUGAGUUUUGAGAGACCGGCGCGUCGCCGGCAACUCACUGCCCUCGGGCUGAGUUGUUGGUCACGCGUCCGAGCCUCCUCGCGGACCUUGAAAAUCACACAGUAGCCAAUGUAAACGGGUAUCACCGAGUAGUGACUUCGUGUCACUGCUCUCGUGACUCAUGUAAGUGAGUCAAUUUUUUGAUCACCGUCAAGAUAGUAAGGGCACAUGGUGGAUGCCUUGGCACCUAGAGUCGAUGAAGGGCGUGAACGGCUGCGAUAAGCCGCGGUGAGGCGCUGAAUAGCCUUUGACCCGCGGAUGC
RNAcentral lists this small RNA (956 nucleotides) under uncultured Conexibacter sp. RNAcentral's name for it is "bacterial SSU rRNA". The stretch from base 1 to 471 matches the Rfam family "Bacterial small subunit ribosomal RNA", at positions 1064 to 1533 of the family's 1533-position model. The record is from RNAcentral. Lineage: Bacteria; Bacillati; Actinomycetota; Thermoleophilia; Solirubrobacterales; Conexibacteraceae.